RNAcentral lists this ribosomal RNA (433 nucleotides) under uncultured bacterium. RNAcentral's name for it is "partial 16S ribosomal RNA". It matches the Rfam family "Bacterial small subunit ribosomal RNA", at positions 29 to 507 of the family's 1533-position model. The record is from RNAcentral.
AACGAACGCUGGCGGCAUGCCUAACACAUGCAAGUCGAACGAGACCUUCGGGUCUAGUGGCGCACGGGGGCGUAACGCGUGGGAACCUGCCCUUAGGUUCGGAAUAACUCCCCGAAAGGUGUGCUAAUACCGGAUAGGGUCUUCGGACCAAAGAGUUAUCGCCUUUGGGUGGGGCUGGGUUGGAUUAGGUAGUUGGUAGGGGAAAAGCCGACCAAGGCGACGAUCCAUAGCUGGUGGGAGAGGAUGAUCAUCCACACUGGGACUGAGACACGGCCCAGACUCCUACGGGAGGCAGGAGUAGGGAGUAUUGUGGAAUGGGCGAUAGCCUGAUACAGCCGUGCCGCGUGAGUGAUGAAGGCCUUAGGGUUGUAAAGCUCUUUUACACGAGAUGAUAAUGACAGUACCGGGAGAAGAAGCUCCGGCUAACUCCGUG